AAGACCUUGCGCUUUUGGAGCGGCCGAUGCCUGAUUAGCUAGUUGGUGGGGUAAAAGCUUACCAAGGCAACGACCAGUAGUUGGUCUGAGAGGACGGCCAGCCACACUGGGACUGAGACACGGCCCAGACUCCUACGGGAGGCAGCAGUGGGGAAUUUUGGACAAUGGGCGCAAGCCUGAUCCAGCAAUGCCGCGUGAGUGAAGAAGGCCUUCGGGUUGUAAAGCUCUUUCAGUCGAGAAGAAAAGAUUGUGACGAAUAAUCACAAUUCAUGACGGUAUCGACAGAAGAAGCACCGGCUAACUACGUGCCAGCAGCCGCGGUAAUACGUAGGGUGCAAGCGUUAAUCGGAAUUACUGGGCGUAAAGGGUGCGCAGGCGGCUUUGUAAGUCAGAUGUGAAAUCCCCGGGCUUAACCUGGGGAAUU
RNAcentral lists this ribosomal RNA (424 nucleotides) under uncultured bacterium. RNAcentral's name for it is "bacterial SSU rRNA". It matches the Rfam family "Bacterial small subunit ribosomal RNA", at positions 207 to 623 of the family's 1533-position model. The record is from RNAcentral.